RNAcentral lists this ribosomal RNA (500 nucleotides) under uncultured bacterium. Its description in RNAcentral is "partial 16S ribosomal RNA". It matches the Rfam family "Bacterial small subunit ribosomal RNA", at positions 28 to 507 of the family's 1533-position model. The record is from RNAcentral.
GAUGAACGCUGGCGGCGUGCCUAAUACAUGCAAGUCGAACGCGCCGAGAAGGGAAGUUGUUCCUUUCAGCGCGAGUGGCGAACGGGAGAGUAACACGUGGGAAACCUACCCGUCAGCGGGGGAUAACCAUCGGAAACGAUGACGAAUACCGCAUAGUGGUUCCAGUGGCAGGACUGGAAUGGGAAAGACGGCUGCGGCGGUCACGGAGGGAUGGUCCCGGGGUGGAUUAGCUAGACGGUGGGGUAACGGCCCACCGUGGCUUUGAUGCAUAGCCGACCUGAGAGGGUGAUCGGCCACACUGGGACUGAGACACGGCCCAAACUCCUACGGGAGGCAGCAGUAGGGAAUCUUCCGCAAUGGACGAAAGUCUGACGGAGCCACGCCGCGUGUGUGAAGAAGGUCUUCGGAUCGUAAAGCACUGUUAUCAGAGAAGAAUAGCAUAUAGUGUAACUGUUAUAGUUUUGACGGUACCUGCUCAGAAAGCCCCGGCUAACUACGUG